UGAGUAACGCGUAUGCAACUUGCCUAUCAGAGGGGGAUAACCCGGCGAAAGUCGGACUAAUACCGCAUAAAGCAGGGGCCCCGCAUGGGGAUAUUUGCUAAAGAUUCAUCGCUGAUAGAUAGGCAUGCGUUCCAUUAGGCAGUUGGCGGGGUAACGGCCCACCAAACCGACGAUGGAUAGGGGUUCUGAGAGGAAGGUCCCCCACAUUGGUACUGAGACACGGACCAAACUCCUACGGGAGGCAGCAGUGAGGAAUAUUGGUCAAUGGGCGAGAGCCUGAACCAGCCAAGUCGCGUGAGGGAUGAAGGUUCUAUGGAUCGUAAACCUCUUUUAUAAGGGAAUAAAGUGGCCCACGUGUGGGUUUUUGUAUGUACCUUAUGAAUAAGGAUCGGCUAACUCCGUGCCAGCAGCCGCGGUAAUACGGAGGAUCCGAGCGUUAUCCGGAUUUAUUGGGUUUAAAGGGUGCGUAGGCGGCCUUUUAAGUCAGCGGUGAAAGUCUGUGGCUCAACCAUAGAAUUGCCGUUGAAACUGUGAGGCUUGAGUGCGUUUGAGGCAGGCGGAAUGCGUGGUGUAGCGGUGAAAUGCUUAGAUAUCACGCAGA
This 601-nucleotide ribosomal RNA is filed under the name uncultured Bacteroidales bacterium. Its description in RNAcentral is "bacterial SSU rRNA". It matches the Rfam family "Bacterial small subunit ribosomal RNA", at positions 107 to 705 of the family's 1533-position model. Lineage: Bacteria; Pseudomonadati; Bacteroidota; Bacteroidia; Bacteroidales. The record is from RNAcentral.